Molecule: long non-coding RNA, 1001 nt
Organism: Prionailurus viverrinus (fishing cat)
Lineage: Eukaryota; Metazoa; Chordata; Mammalia; Carnivora; Felidae
Exons: 3
Source: RefSeq, a predicted model, not a curated record
CCUCAGGACUCUCCCCCUGCCUCGGAUUUCUCAUCUUGUGAAAGGUGAGGUGUUGUUGGGGCUCUGAGGUUCUGUCGGUUUCUCUUCCCUCCAAAUUCCUGGCACACGGAGCCCGCAAGGGGUUGAGAGAGAGCAGUGACUCCGCAGAAUUGAAAGGCAGAUUGCUAGCAAGCAAAUGAGGCUAGCCCAGGAAGCCGGAAGUGGGAAGCCCGGGGGCCCGGGCUGGCCGGCCGGGACUUAGAACAAGACCGGGCGAAGCCCCGCCCACCCUUUUGUCCGAUCGUCCAUCCAUCCACCUACCCAGACCUCCGAUCAGUCGUUCGGCACAUUUAGGAAGCACCUACUUUGUGCGAGGCACUAUGGAGGGGAGUGACCUGGCCCAUCCUCUCCCUCUCCCCACGACCCCCACAUUUUCUCUGGGGAGUGUGGUCGUGGGAACACUGGAUGGGGAGUCAAGGCCGGACUUAGGUCCGCCUGGUGGCCUAGGCAGGCUCCUUGGCCUCUUGGCACCUUGGCGUUCUGCUGCCCGGUACACAGAAGCCACAGCCAGCCAAUGAUGCUGCGUCCCCAGUAGCUGGCACCCGCCAUCUGGGAUCAAGCUGUGGAAAUAGGAUUGCCUCCCUCCGUCCCUUCCAGUGUCCCCCCUCCUUCCUCUAUUGGAUUUGCCCUUCUCCUGCCGGCCACCUUAGGUUUGUCGGGUGGUCCUGAGAUGCACGUCAUGAGGAAUCUCCUGAGAUGCACGUCAUGAGGAAUCUCCGACAAGCCCGAGGGACUGGGCACCCAGACUUCCCUAAUGGAGCCACUGGGGCCCGGAGGACAGGGCUCUGCCUAAGGACUCACAGCAGUGAGCGAUAGGGCUGGGAUUCAUCCUGGCCAAACUCAAGAGAAUUGAAUUCAUUCCAAGAUGUCACGGAACUCUCCCUGAGAGCGGACUGCAAUUUGGGGCAGAGGGCAAGGACUGAGCAGGACAGCCAGAGGUCGCUCCCUCCCCCACCACUUGG